Molecule: ribosomal RNA, 428 nt
Filed under: uncultured prokaryote
Description: bacterial SSU rRNA
Rfam family: Bacterial small subunit ribosomal RNA
Source: RNAcentral
UGAGGAAUUUUGCGCAAUGGGAGCAAUCCUGACGCAGCAACGCCGCGUGGGUGAUGAAGGCCUUAGGGUCGUAAAGCCCUGUCAGGUGGGAAGAAUGUCCCGGAACUGAACAGGUUUCGGGAGUGACGGUACCACCAGAGGAAGCACCGGCUAACUCCGUGCCAGCAGCCGCGGUAAUACGGAGGGUGCAAGCGUUAUUCGGAAUUACUGGGCGUAAAGCGCGUGUAGGCGGUCCUGCGAGUCUGAUGUGAAAGCCCCGGGCUUAACCCGGGAAGUGCAUUGGAAACUGCAGGUCUUGAGUACUGGAGAGGAUGGGGGAAUUCGCGGUGGAGAGGUGAAAUUCGUAGAGAGCGGGAGGAAUAUCAGUGGCGAAGGCGACCAGCUGGACGGUAACUGACGCUGAGACGCGAAAGCGUGGGGAGCAAACA